RNAcentral lists this ribosomal RNA (255 nucleotides) under uncultured bacterium. RNAcentral describes it as "partial 16S ribosomal RNA". It matches the Rfam family "Bacterial small subunit ribosomal RNA", at positions 524 to 776 of the family's 1533-position model. The record is from RNAcentral.
UACGUAGGGGGCUAGCGUUGUCCGGAAUCAUUGGGCGUAAAGAGCGUGUAGGCGGCUCGGUAAGUCCGCUGUGAAAGUCCAGGGCUCAACCCUGGAAUGCCAGUGGAAACUGUCGAGCUAGAGUCCGGAAGAGGCGAGUGGAAUUCCUGGUGUAGCGGUGAAAUGCGCAGAUAUCAGGAGGAACACCAAUGGCGAAGGCAGCUCGCUGGGACGGUACUGACGCUGAGACGCGAAAAGCGUGGGGGAGCAAACAGG